AGUAACUAAAAUUUAAUAAUGUGGCUUUUACCACAUUGUAUAAUAAAUUGUAUAUUAAAUAUAUAUAUGCAUUAUUUUCACAUGGUAGCCAAAUCACAACACUACAAUGUUUUUCUAGUUUUUAGUCUUGUUUCAAGACUUUCUUGUCUUCUUGUCUUUAGCAAUAGUCAUUUUACUUCAUUUUAGUUCAAUAUAUCUUUGAAUGACUUCUUAGUCUUUUCAAGUGAUAUAAGAGUGUAUUGAGAUUUUCUUUCUUUGAAAUUCAUCUCCUUGACACCCAGCUAAUUCCAUUCCAUCUCGACACAUCC
RNAcentral lists this long non-coding RNA (308 nucleotides) under Physcomitrium patens. RNAcentral's name for it is "long non-coding RNA (PPAT_LNC010023)". Lineage: Eukaryota; Viridiplantae; Streptophyta; Bryopsida; Funariales; Funariaceae. The record is from RNAcentral.